This 895-nucleotide long non-coding RNA is filed under the name Junco hyemalis (dark-eyed junco). Its description in RNAcentral is "lncRNA (ENSJHYG00000005662.1)". The record is from RNAcentral. Lineage: Eukaryota; Metazoa; Chordata; Aves; Passeriformes; Passerellidae.
AAAGGACUCCAAGCCCAUCAAAUCCGGCUGAUCCCCACCUUGUCACCAGCCCAGAGCACUGAGUGCCACACCCAGGCCUUCCUUGGACACCUCCAGAUUCCUCCAGACUCCUGGGCAGCCCCUUCCAAUGUUUAACAUCUCUUUCCUUGAAGAAAUUCUUCCUGAUGUCCAGCCUGACCCUCUCCUGGUACAGCUUGUUUGCUGAGUUUGGGUCAGAGCUUGUGCUUGCAGCCCCAGUUAACCUUUCUGCAAGGAAAAACCCAACCUAAGCAGCAGAAAAUGUCAGGAAAAUUAUGUUAAUUUGCAGAGUGAAUUUUCUUCAGGACCUCAAAGAACAAAAGCACUUCCAAAAGCUCUCAAAGUCAUUUCCACCCAGAACCUCGAGAUUUCCAAGGAUCCUGUCCAAAACUCUGCAGGAUCAAGCUUUGUACCUGCCCUUCCUGGUGCAAGAUGAAGAACUCUGUCUCCACCGAAAACAAAAGAAGGUUCUGUCGCAAGACAAAUUGAAUCAAAUUCUCCAGGAGUUUUCCAGUUCAAUUAAGCUGUGGGAUAGUCCCUAUCUUAGGUGCAAAUCUCUCUGUGCAUUACAGGACCACAGACAGGGAUGUGGCAAAAGAUGAUUAAAUGAAGAUACCUUCAAGUGACCUGGUUUUGAUAGAUGAUAUUAAACCAAGCCUGAAAAUCAGACUCUCCUUGUGGUGGAAAACCUGAGGGAUCAACUAACAAUGAGAUUUCUGCUGUCUUGGUGAUGAACUGUCCUAAGAACUGCAGUUUCAGAGAAUAUGAAGUGACCUUUGAAAACUUCACUGAAAGUUGAUCCAGAUGUUUAAUCUGACCAAGCUGGUUCAUCUCUACAGAUAAAUAAAUUCUCAUUUUUGUUGAAAGUGAAAAUGCA